This 292-nucleotide ribosomal RNA is filed under the name uncultured microorganism. Its description in RNAcentral is "partial 16S ribosomal RNA". It matches the Rfam family "Bacterial small subunit ribosomal RNA", at positions 505 to 796 of the family's 1533-position model. The record is from RNAcentral.
GUGCCAGCAGCCGCGGUAAUACGGAGGGUGCGAGCGUUAAUCGGAAUUACUGGGCGUAAAGCGUGCGCAGGCGGUUUGUUAAGCGAGAUGUGAAAGCCCCGGGCUCAACCUGGGAACUGCAUUUUGAACUGGCAAACUAGAGUCUUGUAGAGGGGGGUAGAAUUCCAGGUGUAGCGGUGAAAUGCGUAGAGAUCUGGAGGAAUACCGGUGGCGAAGGCGGCCCCCUGGACAAAGACUGACGCUCAUGCACGAAAGCGUGGGGAGCAAACAGGAUUAGAUACCCUGGUAGUCC